Molecule: long non-coding RNA, 499 nt
Filed under: Ananas comosus (pineapple)
Lineage: Eukaryota; Viridiplantae; Streptophyta; Magnoliopsida; Poales; Bromeliaceae
Description: long non-coding RNA (ACOM_LNC005777)
Source: RNAcentral
AUUAAAUUAUUAAUUAAUUUAAUUAAUAUAUUUAAAUCAUUAUCCAUUGCUUGAAUAAUAAAAUAAUUAAUUAAUUUAUUACUUAUAAUUAAUUAGCUAAUUAAUUAUUAAUAAUUUAAUAUGUUUACCUAUAANUUUAUAUUUAAUUAAUUUAUUAAUAUACUUUCAUUAUCUUAUACAAUAUUCAUAGCUAAUAAAUUUUUUAAUUUAUUAAAUUAAUUUUAAGUAAUAUUUUUAUGUUAAUUAAUUAGAUAAAAUAAUUUUAAUUUAAAAUUAUAACUCUUAUUACUCUUAUUCCAAUCUAAUUAUCCAAAUACUAUUUACCUUAUUCCUAUUAACAAUUUAAUUUUUAUCCAAAUGCAAAAUUAGUAUAAUUUCUACUUAUAUCUGAAAUUAUACCUAUUCCUGAAAUAAGCAAUUCUGACUUAUACCAAACCAAACACAGCCUAAAGGAAUAAAGAACAAGCUUGUUCCAACUUGAGAACAUGCUUAAUUAAAG